Molecule: ribosomal RNA, 763 nt
Filed under: uncultured archaeon
Lineage: Archaea
Description: bacterial SSU rRNA
Rfam family: Archaeal small subunit ribosomal RNA
Source: RNAcentral
UUCCGGUUGAUCCUGCCGGACCCGACUGCUAUCGGAUUGGGACUAAGCCAUGCGAGUCAACUCGAAAGAGUGGCGCACGGCUCAGUAACACGUAGUCAAUCUACCCUGAGGACGGGGAUAACCCCGGGAAACUGGGGAUAAACCCCGAUAGGUCAUAGCUCCUGGAAUGGGCUAUGGCUCAAAUGCUAUAUGGCCUUAGGAUGGGACUGCGUCCGAUCAGGUUGUUGGUGGGGUAAUGGCCCACCAAGCCUAUAACCGGUACGGGCUCUGAGAGGAGGAGCCCGGAGAUGGGCACUGAGACAAGGGCCCAGGCCCUACGGGGCGCAGCAGGCGCGAAACCUCCGCUAUGCGCGAAAGCGCGACGGGGCCACUCCGAGUGCCGCCCGCUGAGGGCGGCUUUUGCCCAGUCCAAAAGGCUGGGCGAAUAAGGGGAGGGCAAGAUUGGUGUCAGCCGCCGCGGUAAUACCAACUCCCCGAGUGGUCGGGACGAUUAUUGGGCUUAAAGCGUCCGUAGCCGGUCGGGUGUGUCGUCGGUUAAAUCCGACGUCUCAAGCGUCGGACUGCCGGCGAUACUACCCGGCUAGGGAGCGGGAGAGGCGGCCGGUAUUCCCGGGGUAGGGGUAAAAUCCUCAGAUCCCGGGAGGACCAUCGGUGGCGAAUGCGGGCCGCUAGAACGCGCUCGACGGUGAGGGACGAAAGCUGGGGGAGCGAUCCGGAUUAGAUACCCUGGUAGUCCCAGCUGUAAACGAUGCAGGCUAAGUGU